GACGAACGCUGGCGGCGUGCUUUACACAUGCAAGUCGAACGGAAAGGCCCGGCUUUUGUGGGGGGCUCGAGGGGCGAAAGGGUGAGAAACACGUGAGUAACCCGCCCUUGACUUUGGGGUAACUUCAGGAAAAUGGGGCUAAUACCGGAUAGGGGCUCCUGCUGCAGGGGGGGGGUUGGAAAGCUUCGGCGGUUGGGGAUGGACUCGCGGCUGAUCAGCUUGUUGGUGGGGUAGUGGCUUACCAAGGCUUUGACGGGUAGCCGGCCUGAGAGGGUGACCGGCCACAUUGGGACUGAGAUACGGCCCAGACUCCUACGGGAGGCAGCAGUGGGGAAUAUUGCACAAUGGGCGGAAGCCUGAUGCAGCAACGCCGCGUGCGGGAUGACGGCCUUCGGGUUGUAAACCGCUUUCGCCUGUGACGAAGCGUGAGUGACGGUAAUGGGUAAAGAAGCACCGGCUAACUACGUG
RNAcentral lists this ribosomal RNA (468 nucleotides) under uncultured bacterium. Its description in RNAcentral is "partial 16S ribosomal RNA". It matches the Rfam family "Bacterial small subunit ribosomal RNA", at positions 28 to 507 of the family's 1533-position model. The record is from RNAcentral.